AGCCCGUGAAACCUAGAGGCGGGGCGUCAAAUCCUUGACUCUGCUGCUCAGAGGCGUGGUUGCUGUUGAGCAUCUUAGCUCCGCUGUGCUUAGAUUGGAGCAGCGCUUUGUUCCGGGCACCGGCGUCUCUACCCUCCCGCGUCUGGUCCAUGCUUCUCUCUCCCUUCAUGCCCUUCCUAAGUCGCUGAGUCCCGGAGCUGCCCUCCUCCUUCUGCUUCUACACUUGUAGCCCAGCACCUUUACCGGAUCCUGUUUGCUUUUUUUUUUUUUUUUUUUUUUCUUUCUCCUCCCAAGGCCGGGGUCUCUCUGCCAGGCCCCGCCCCUCUAGGCCUGGCAUGUCCCCUGCUGCCCAGCGCCCAUGGUCCUGACGCUGCUCUUCUCCGCCUACAAACUGUGCCGCUUCUUCACCAUGUCAGGCCCACGGCCGGGCGCCGAUCGGCUGACAGUGCCCGGACCGGAUCGGAGUGGUGGCGCCAGCCCAUGGUGGGCUGCGGGCGGUCGCGGGUCUCGCGAAGUGUCGCCCGGAGUGGGCACUGAGGUGCAAGGCGCCCUGGAGCGUUCGCUGCCUGAGCUGCAGCAGGCGCUGUCCGAGCUGAAACAGGCAAGCGCGGCGCGGGCUGUGGGCGCGGGUCUCGCCGAGGUCUUCCAGCUGGUAGAGGAAGCCUGGCUGCUGCCGGCCGUGGGCCGCGAGGUGGCCCAAGGUCUAUGCGAUGCUAUACGUCUGGACGGUGGCCUCGACUUGCUGUUGCGGCUGCUUCAGGCACCGGAGCUAGAGACCCGUGUGCAGGCCGCGCGCUUGCUGGAGCAGAUCCUGGUGGCUGAGAACCGGGACCGCGUGGCGCGCAUCGGUCUAGGCGUGAUCUUGAACCUGGCGAAGGAGCGCGAGCCUGUGGAACUGGCACGAAGCGUGGCGGGCAUCUUGGAGCACAUGUUCAAGCACUCGGAGGAGACGUGCCAGCGGCUGGUGGCGGCCGGAGGCCUCGACGCGGUGCUGUACUGGUGCCGCCGCACAGACCCGGCGCUGCUGCGCCACUGCGCUCUUGCGCUGGCGAACUGCGCGCUGCACGGGGGCCAGACGGUGCAGCGGUGCAUGGUGGAGAAGCGCGCCGCCGAGUGGCUCUUCCCGCUCGCUUUCUCCAAGGAGGACGAGCUGCUGCGGCUGCACGCCUGCCUGGCGGUGGCGGUGUUGGCUACCAACAAGGAGGUGGAACGCGAGGUCGAGCAUUCUGGCACAUUGGCGCUUGUCGAGCCGCUCGUGGCAUCGCUGGACCCCGGCCGCUUCGCCCGCUGCCUGGUGGAUGCCAGUGACACAAGCCAGGGUCGUGGACCAGACGACCUGCAGAGCCUGGUGCUGUUGCUCGAUUCGUCGCGUUUGGAGGCUCAGUGCAUAGGAGCAUUCUACCUGUGCGCAGAGGCUGCCAUCAAGAGCCUACAGGGAAAGACCAAGGUGUUCAGCGACAUCGGCGCUAUCCAGAGCCUGAAACGCCUGGUUUCUUACUCUACGAAUGGCACCACGUCGGCGCUGGCCAAGCGCGCGCUGCGCCUAUUGGGCGAGGAGGUGCCAAGGCGCAUCCUGCCCUGCGUGGCCAGCUGGAAGGAAGCUGAGGUCCAGACCUGGCUACAGCAGAUCGGCUUCUCCCAGUACUGCGAGAACUUUCGGGAGCAGCAGGUAGAUGGUGACCUGCUUCUAAGACUCACAGAUGAAGAACUCCAGACAGACCUAGGCAUGAAAUCAAGCAUCACCCGCAAGAGGUUCUUUAGGGAGCUCACAGAGCUCAAGACCUUCGCCAGCUACGCUACUUGCGACCGCAGCAACCUAGCGGACUGGCUGGGCAGCCUGGAUCCUCGCUUCCGCCAGUACACCUAUGGCCUGGUCAGCUGCGGUCUGGACCGCUCCCUGCUGCACCGCGUGUCAGAGCAGCAGCUCCUGGAGGACUGUGGCAUCCGCCUGGGAGUGCACCGCACGCGCAUCCUCUCUGCAGCCAGAGGGCUUGCUGAGAGAUGACAACUUUUCCGAAUCAGGUCACUUUGCCCAGACUGGCCUGAGAAGCUUGAGGAGACCAAGUCUCCACGAUGAUGGACCCCGUGAUAAGCAGUGGGGAAGAGCCACCCUCACCUCCAUGUCUCUUUCCUUGGCUCCAGAAAUGCUACAUUCCCCGCUGCCCUGUACUGGAGGCAAGCUCAGUGGGGACACCCCAGAUGUCUUUAUCAGUUACCGGAGGAACUCAGGGUCCCAGCUGGCCAGCCUCCUGAAGGUGCACCUGCAGCUUCACGGCUUCAGCGUCUUCAUCGACGUGGAGAAGCUGGAAGCCGGCAAAUUCGAGGACAAGCUUAUCCAAAGCGUCAUAGCGGCUCGCAAUUUUGUCCUGGUGCUGUCUGCUGGGGCGCUGGAUAAGUGCAUGCAGGACCAUGACUGCAAGGACUGGGUGCACAAGGAGAUUGUGACUGCUUUAAGCUGUGGCAAGAACAUUGUGCCCAUCAUUGAUGGCUUUGAGUGGCCUGAGCCUCAGGCGCUGCCUGAGGAUAUGCAGGCUGUACUCACCUUCAACGGCAUCAAAUGGUCCCAUGAGUACCAGGAGGCCACCAUCGAGAAGAUCAUCCGCUUCCUACAGGGCCGCCCCUCUCAGGACUCCUCUGCCGGAUCGGAUACCAGUUUGGAGGGAGCUACGCCAAUGGGUCUGCCUUAACCUGUCCCCAGUUCCCGUGCCCUACUGUGACUCCUGAUUUAGUUCCCUGCCCUUAAAGGAAUAGCUCCUCUAGAUGCCACCCUGACUGAGGCAAACCAGACUGUUCUCAGGCAAUGGCUUUCCCGGCUGCCACUCUGUGGCCCACUUCUAAUCCAGAGAUGCCAGGCACAGGUUAGAUGAGAGGACACUCCUGUGUCAGGCCCUGCCAUCAGGACCCAGCUCCCAUGCAGAACCAUGUCCCUGCUUAGUUCUGGACAUCCAAGACAGGGGAAGAACAUUUCCCCAUCUCCUGACCUGAGAGCAGCCAGCUUGAGUAAGGUGAGGUUGCCAGCCUCCCAUAAGGGUCAAUACAACGCCUGGAUCCCCAAACCUGUGCUCAGGAGGAAGCUGGGGCUGAGAAUCCCCCAAGGCUAUCUACUCACAUUGUGCCUGGACCCGGGCUCACCUGGCUUCCUCCUGCCUCAUGGCCUUGCUCUGUAACUACCUGGUACCCCUUCUAGACUUCCUUUAGGCAGCCUCCUUUGGCAUAUUGGGAGUCAGGGUGUGGCUGAACUGGACCUCUGCCUGGCCUUGUUGCUCCUCCUGGUGCAAGAAGGGGUGCUUUGCUUAUGCAAGGAGACCAUAAGAGCUCACUCUAGCCCAAACCUUUGUGCGUGCCUAAGGCUCUUACCUAGCCUGCUCCAUCUGACUUCCCCAGCUCCUCACCCACACAGAGCUUGUCACCCACCUGCUCAGGGAAGCCCCAACACCACCAGUAGCCCGAGCAGAACCUGCACCAUGGGAAAAAGGCAAGCCAUCCACAGGCAAGGGCUAAUUCCUGGGGCAGUUUCUCCCACCGAAGUGUGUCAAAUCCAUUGGGAAUCUCAUCAAAAUUCAGAGCAGGCCACCUGGGAAGCACCUGGGCCUCUGCAUUUUUCAGAUUCCCAGGAGAGCUGAUGAAAGAGAGCCCUCACUAAUCCAGCCAUUCCAAACACCCCCACCCUGGUCCCUGAUCAUCACAACAGCCUUUUCCUCUCUCCAGUUUUACAGAGCUGAGUGGCUGAGUGAUGGGAUCAGGUCCCCAAGUUAUUGGUGGCAGCCUCAGGAUCUUGCCUUAGUCCUGGUACCCAGAUCUGUUCUCCUGAGACUCAUCCAAGAGGCUGUGGCCCAUGCUUGGUAGCUGCCUCUCCCUGGCCACAAAGAACUGAGCAGUGCAGGGUGGGUCUUGACUAAAAGGUGGAGCUAAGGGCAUAUAGAAUGUCCCAUGUCCCUCCCUCCACUGGACAAGAAAGGCAAGAAAGCUGGCUCUUGCCAUUACCCAGGCUCAAGCUCAGAGAGCUGGCACCACCCUGCUGUCGUCUUCUGGAGGCCAUGGGGUCACACCUCUCCUGAGGCUAGCCAGGUUACUUGCCCACGGCCCACAUUAUCAGAGAGCCAAAGGGCUUUCUCUCCAGGCCUGGGGACACUUUCCUCCUACCGUCCAUCUUCCAUGGGUCAUGGCUGGCCUCUGGCUGUGACUAUUUGCAGUUUUGUCACCAGGAACAACCCCCGCAUCCUAUUCUGAGGUGAGGCAGAUGGAAUGGUAUCCUUGAUGACAAAUUCAAUGACAAUACAGUGUAUGAGUUCACCCUAAGGAAAUGUCUGUCUUCAGUCCCAUACUCUCCAGUGGUCCCUGUGGGCAGUACUUAAGAAAUUUCUGGUUUUCCUUGUUUGGGGCACAAGUCACUACUACCUCCACUGUCUGGCCUUCUGUUGAUCUGUCCCCUACUGUCUUCUUGGGGAACCAGAGCACAGCCUUAUGUCCCAGCCAGGAUAGCAAAAGUGUCAAGCCUCCUCUAGCUAGACAGUACACUGUGUGGUGACAGAGGGCCUCAACUUCUGCUAAGCAUGGCUGACCACACUGAUCUUGAGACAGGCUCUUCAGUAGCCCUUCAAGCAGCCCACACUCGCAUGGUCUGUGGGUUCAGGGUUUCUUCCUAGCUGAGCUAUAGCUGCUGCCCCCAGAUUGGGGCCUAGUCAGGGAGAUCCCUACUCUUCAACACCCACCGUCUCUAGGGAGCUACGAACUGCUUAGGAACAUUAAGAGGCUAAAGAUCCAGCCAGUUUGUUCAUCCUUCACUGAGCAUCUCAUCCUGGGAUGUAUGGAGCUGGAGGGAUCUCAGAGCAUCCAACAGCUGUGCUUCCUAACGCAUCCAGUUAGGUCCUUGCAGACAGAUGUGGGGGAGUGCUGAUCCAGUUUUCUCUAGAUUUGCUCAAGGUCACAUGCUGCCAGAGUGAAGCCUUUCCCUCCUCACAGCCUCAGGGCAGUGGGGUUAGUGGAAAGCCUCUUCUUGCUUAGACUUUUCUAUUUCCAGAGGGACAGUGAAGCAGAAGUGUGGAAGCCAGAUGGGCCCUGGUGCAGUUCAGUGGGCCUUAGUUUUCCCUGGGAUGUAUCUCUUUCACCUGCAUGGUUUCCAGCUGGGAAACUAGCUUGCAGUUUGGGCAGGAAGAGAUAGCUUCAUCAAAGACAGUGGCUUCCCAUUAGAUAAGAUUCUACCUUUCAGUUUUGAGCCCAGGUCUUUCCAACACGCCACACAUACACACACACACACACACACACACACACACACACACACACACACACACAUUUCCCAGAAGUAGGAAUGAUGGUCUCAGUGUCUCAACACUGAGCUAUGUGGGUGGGCCAAAUAGCAACCAAAGGCGAUCCUUCUGGGGCUGGUGUAGCCAUGAAGCCAGCCAGGGAAUGAAUGAUCUGACCAUCAGCAAGGGGCAGCCAGAGCUUGGGUCCAAGUGUCUCCAUGGGCCUGAUGAAGCCUCACAAGCCCUUCACUCCUCAGCAGCUUAGGAAGAAACCAGCUGGAGCCUGGAGAAUGAGACAUACCCAGCACCAACCCGGUAGGCAACUAGGGGAGUCCAGCCCAGAAGGCAAUGGUGCCAAAUAGGCAGAGAGCAUGAAGACAGAAAGCCCCAAAGCCCAGUAAACUUUUCAGACUGAUUCAAACAAUUUACUGUGACAAUUGCCAAGGCUGAGGUCAAGGGUGGGUAGACUGUGGUCAAGGACGGCUUCCCAACCAUAGACAGAGCUUCAUCGCCUGGAAGCCACUGAACACAGCAGAGACCUAGUACCAUGGGCUAGAAGGAGAGGUCGGUCUCACGCUUGGUCCCUGAAAUGCCAUCUCCUUCACUCUAGAAGGUUCUGAGUGAUGAAUAGCAUGGGGGGGGGGGGAAGAAACCCUUGCCACAAAUGGCUCCUUGCAGCCUGCCCUAAAGUGGACCUCUCCUGAUUAGAUUCUGUAUCUAGCAGAGAUUGGCUCAGUCAGAGAGUAGGUGUUGCUCAUAACUGGCUUGAACUCCCUUUCCAGAGUGAGUACUGCCAAGGCUGAGGUCAAGGGUGGAUAGACUGUGGUCAAGGACGGAUUCCGAGGUGGCUGGUGUGCUGGGCUUUAGGCAUACAUCGUCAGUGUGGGUCCAUUGCUCCUCAUGGCUUCGGGCAGAUCAGGGGCUCUGAGGAAACUGCUGGAACUCCGGGUGUGGAUUAACCUUUUCCAGUACCCUGUGAGAGAGCAGAGAGAAGGUUCAGAGAUGACAUGGGGAGCCCCCAACCCAGUCUGGAGAGGUGACACAGGACUGUGGGAAGACAGCUCCAGGUCUAUUGUCCAUAGACAGAUGGCUCUAGAGAAGAGCUCUAAAGACUUCAGUGGGUCAGCUAGCCUGGGGCUCAGCCACAAGGAAGUUCUCUGGGCUUUCUGUGACCACAGUUCUGCCACUGUGGUCCUGUCUGCCACAUGGGGAUGGGGCAGGAUGAGGGGACGAGAGAGAGAGAGCCAGAGAGAGAGAGAGAGAGGACACAGCCUUGUCAGGUUGGCUUGACUCCUCCCCAUGUGUCCCUCUACCUCUCUCUGGAGAUGGUUCCUGAAAAAGCAGGCAACCAUCUGCAUUGGGGUAGGGUCAGCCCUGGGGCAGAAUACCUAAAGGACAAGGCCUCCUUUUCCAGUUAGGAGUGGGAGAGACAGGAAACUUCUAGAAAAAUCAGAUUCCAUGAUGAGCAGGCAAGGUCAGAGCCCUCCAUUACCCAAUCAGAAUGGCUGGAAUGAAGAGGAGGCCAGCUCCCAGGAGGAAGGGGAAGCCCUUCAUGAAGUUCAGAGUGGCCGGGUAGAUGGAGUUGAAGAUGCCGGAGGCCAUCAACAUGGCCAAGCUAUUCACACAGGCCACAGCAGAGAACAGAGCACCUGCAAGUGAACAAAUACACCUGAGAGCUGGAAAGACCCAGGGUCCAAUGAGGGCAGCUCCACCUCACAGCUGGACGGCCUGGGGUGGCUCCCCAACUCUCUCCUCCCUCACCUGAGCCUCCUAAUCUCAGUGUUGAAGUAAAAGCUCAAUGAGGCCAUCCACGGGAAGUGCCUGGCAGAAGAGCUAUUAAAUACAUGGCUGUUAACUGUUAAAAUUACUUGCAUGUGUGUGUUUUGCCUGCAUGUAUGUCUCCGUGCCACUUGCAUGCCUGGUGCCCUUGGAAGCUAGAAGAGGGUAUCAGAUCCCCCCCAAAAUGGAAUUACAGAUGGUCAUGAGUCACCACAUGAGUGCUGCUAAGAAUCGAGCCCAGGUCCUCUGGAAGAGUAGCUUGUGCUAUUAAAGGCUGAGCCAUCUCUCUGCA
Molecule: RNA transcript, 7317 nt
Organism: Mus musculus (house mouse)
Lineage: Eukaryota; Metazoa; Chordata; Mammalia; Rodentia; Muridae
Gene: Sarm1
Gene name: sterile alpha and HEAT/Armadillo motif containing 1
Exons: 9
Source: RefSeq, marked validated